CCUGACUGCUAUCGGAUUGAUACUAAGCCAUGCGAGUCAUUGUAGCAAUACAAGGCAGACGGCUCAGUAACGCGUAGUCAACCUACCCUAUGGACGGGGAUAACCUCGGGAAACUGAGAAUAAUACCAGAUAGAACAUUAUGCCUGGAAUGGUUUAUGUUUCAAAUAAUUUAUUGCCGUAGGAUGGGACUGCGGCCUAUCAGUUUGUUGGUGAGGUAAUGGCCCACCAAGACUAUUACAGGUACGGGCUCUGAGAGGAGUAGCCCGGAGAUGGGUACUGAGACACGGACCCAGGCCCUAUGGGGCGCAGCAGGCGAGAAAACUUUGCAAUGUGCGAAAGCACGACAAGGUUAAUCCGAGUGAUUUCUGCUAAAGGAAUCUUUUGUCAGUCCUAGAAACACUGUUGAAUAAGGGGUGGGCAAGUUCUGGUGUCAGCCGCCGCGGUAAAACCAGCACCUCAAGUGGUCAGGAUGAUUAUUGGGCCUAAAGCAUCCGUAGCCUGUUUUGUCAGUUUUCGGUUAAAUCCAUACGCUCAACGUAUGGGCUGCCGGAAAUACUGCAAAACUAGGGAGUGGGAGAGGUAGACGGUACUCGGGAGGAAGGGGUAAAAUCCUUUGAUCUCUCGAUGACCACCUGUGGCGAAGGCGGUCUACCAGAACACGUCCGACGGUGAGGGAUGAAAGCUGGGGGAGCAAACCGGAUUAGAUACCCGGGUAGUCCCAGCUGUAAACUAUGCAAACUCAGUGAUGCAUUGGCUUGAUGCCAAUGCAGUGUUGCAGGGAAGCCGUUAAGUUUGCCGCCUGGGAAGUACGUACGCAAGUAUGAAACUUAAAGGAAUUGGCGGGGGAGCACCACAAGGGGUGAAGCCUGCGGUUC
Molecule: ribosomal RNA, 875 nt
Filed under: uncultured Candidatus Nitrosopumilus sp.
Lineage: Archaea; Thermoproteati; Nitrososphaerota; Nitrososphaeria; Nitrosopumilales; Nitrosopumilaceae
Description: bacterial SSU rRNA
Rfam family: Archaeal small subunit ribosomal RNA
Source: RNAcentral